This 73-nucleotide transfer RNA is filed under the name Streptomycetaceae bacterium. RNAcentral's name for it is "tRNA-Thr". It matches the Rfam family "tRNA". Rfam says of the family: Transfer RNA (tRNA) molecules are approximately 80 nucleotides in length. RNAcentral also lists the same sequence under 1 other name. Lineage: Bacteria; Bacillati; Actinomycetota; Actinomycetes; Kitasatosporales; Streptomycetaceae. The record is from RNAcentral.
GCCGCCUUAGCUCAGUCGGUAGAGCGUCGCUCUCGUAAAGCGAAGGCCUCGGGUUCGAUUCCCGAAGGCGGCU